GAGUUGCUUAAAUGCGAUUCUUUGUAUACUAUUUACCCCCACCAACCCAGAGGUGCAUUGUGGCCUUUAACGAGGUUAGCAGUGUAUCAGUACGUAUGACAAAGGCAACUUUGGCUUACAUUACAUAUAAGUUACCCCCCAUUUACACUUAAGAAGUUUUAAGAAUGAUACCUAUAACUAUAUAACUUUCAGCAAUGGAUCUCUAGGCUCUCACGUCGAUGAAGAACACAGUGAAAUGUGAUACGUAAUGUGAAUUGCAUAAUUCAGUGAAUCAUCGAAUCUUUGAACGCACUUUGCACCUUUUGGUUAUUCCGAGAGGUACGCCUGUUUGAAUGUCACGAAACCCCCCUCGUCUUUAACGCUUUCUAAAAGAGUUAUUGACGGAUUCUGAGUGUUGGCGUGUCAACGCCUCGCUUUAAAUAUAUCAGCACUUUUGGAUGGUUACAUGUUAGUUCAAAAGACGUACUUGAUGUCGUAUUUAUACAAUUCAUCGAGAUGGUCUUUGGUCGUAUCGACUAUCCGCUAAUAUGACGACUUGAAGAAUAGCUUCCUAACCCCAUUGAAUUUACCUU
This 572-nucleotide ribosomal RNA is filed under the name Melampsora occidentalis. RNAcentral's name for it is "eukaryotic LSU rRNA". The stretch from base 184 to 338 matches the Rfam family "5.8S ribosomal RNA". Lineage: Eukaryota; Fungi; Basidiomycota; Pucciniomycetes; Pucciniales; Melampsoraceae. The record is from RNAcentral.